GACGAACGCUGGCGGCGUGCCUAAUACAUGCAUGUAGGACGCAGUUUCGACCGGGUGAGUCACGCGUAGGUAAAUACAUAUUAGAGGGGGAUAACUAUUGGAAACGAUAGCUAAUACCGCAUAAUAGUAGCUGGACCUGCGUUGUAUUGGAUAGUAGGUAGGGUAAUGGCUUACCUAGGCAACGUUACAUAGCCGACCUGAUAGGGUGAUCGGCCACACUGGGACGGUGACACGGCCCAGAGUACUACGGGAGGCAGAGGUAGUGAAUCUGCGGCAAUGGGGGGACCCCUGACCGCGCAACGACGGGUGAGUGAAGAAGGUUUUCGGAUCGUAAAGCUUUGUUGUUAAGGAAGCGGUACUUAACCAGAAAGGGACGGCUAACUACGUGCCAGCAGCGGCGGUAAUAC
RNAcentral lists this ribosomal RNA (407 nucleotides) under uncultured bacterium. RNAcentral's name for it is "partial 16S ribosomal RNA". It matches the Rfam family "Bacterial small subunit ribosomal RNA", at positions 28 to 526 of the family's 1533-position model. The record is from RNAcentral.